GCCGAAGUGGUGGAACUGGUAGACACGCUGUCUUGAGGGGGCAGUGGGGGAAACCCUGUGCGGGUUCGAGUCCCGCCUUCGGCACAA
Molecule: transfer RNA, 87 nt
Filed under: Fidelibacterota bacterium
Lineage: Bacteria; Pseudomonadati; Fidelibacterota
Description: Candidatus Marinimicrobia bacterium tRNA-Leu
Rfam family: tRNA
About the family: Transfer RNA (tRNA) molecules are approximately 80 nucleotides in length.
Source: RNAcentral